AUUAGGAAUCUUGCGCAAUGGGGGCAACCCUGACGCAGCGACGCCGCGUGCGGGAUGACGGCCUUCGGGCUGUAAACCGCUUUUGAAGGGGAAGAAAACAAUGACGGUACCCUUCGAAUAAGCCCCGGCUAACUACGUGCCAGCAGCCGCGGUAAUACGUAGGGGGCGAGCGUUGUCCGAAGUUACUGGGCGUAAAGCGCGCGUAGGCGGUUUUCUAAGUCUGGCGUGAAAGGUUCAGGGCUCAACCCGAACAGUGCGCUGGAGACUGGAGAGCUUGAGGACGGGAGAGGGAAGCGGAAUUCCGGGUGUAGCGGUGAAAUGCGUAGAUAUCCGGAGGAACACCGAUGGCGAAGGCAGCUUCCUGGCCCGUAUCUGACGCUGAGGUGCGAAAGCGUGGGGAGCGAACGG
Molecule: ribosomal RNA, 408 nt
Filed under: uncultured bacterium
Lineage: Bacteria
Description: bacterial SSU rRNA
Rfam family: Bacterial small subunit ribosomal RNA
Source: RNAcentral